AGGGACAGCAGUAGCCACGGUAACACGUAGGUGGCAAGCGUUGUCCGGAAUUACUGGGCGUAAAGCGUGCGUAGGCGGUUUGUUAAGUCUGUUGUGAAAUCCCCGGGCUCAACCUGGGAAUGGCAGUGGAUACUGGCUCGCUAGAGUGUGUCAGAGGAUGGUGGAAUUCCCGGUGUAGCGGUGAAAUGCGUAGAGAUCGGGAGGAACAUCAGUGGCGAAGGCGGCCAUCUGGGACAACACUGACGCUGAGGCACGAAAGCGUGGGGAGCAAACAGGAUUAGAUACCCGCGUAGUCCCUGUCUCUUAUAC
RNAcentral lists this ribosomal RNA (309 nucleotides) under uncultured bacterium. RNAcentral's name for it is "partial 16S ribosomal RNA". It matches the Rfam family "Bacterial small subunit ribosomal RNA", at positions 503 to 807 of the family's 1533-position model. The record is from RNAcentral.